CGAUUGCGUGGUCGAUUGGU
Molecule: non-coding RNA, 20 nt
Filed under: Arabidopsis thaliana (thale cress)
Lineage: Eukaryota; Viridiplantae; Streptophyta; Magnoliopsida; Brassicales; Brassicaceae
Source: RNAcentral